Molecule: RNA transcript, 1567 nt
Organism: Hevea brasiliensis (rubber tree)
Lineage: Eukaryota; Viridiplantae; Streptophyta; Magnoliopsida; Malpighiales; Euphorbiaceae
Gene name: probable CCR4-associated factor 1 homolog 7
Exons: 4
Source: RefSeq, a predicted model, not a curated record
GAAGACACCCAGAAGUGAAGGGCUAGAGCCUCUCUCUCUCUCUCUCUCUCUCUCUCUCUAUCUCUCGCUGGCCAGUGGCAAUCCUUCGUUGACGUACAAAUCUUUGUUCAACGAAGCAUAAUAUACUGAUCACCAGUUGUAGAUCUAUUCAUUACAAGCCCUGAUUUCACAAAUUUAAGAUCUACUUAAUAUAGAAAACGACGCCGUCUUGGAAAUCAAAUUCACAACAAGACCCGUUUCAGGUUUUGAGUGAUUAUGCUUAUUUUGCUUCAGAUCUGGGGUUUAUAGUAUUAGUUGCUCCAUUGCUUUUUGAAUCCGUGUGUUGGAAAUGUCAAUUGUACCUAAAGGCGACUCCAUUCAAAUCCGAGAGGUGUGGAAUGAUAAUCUUGAGGAGGAAUUCGCUUUGAUUCGCGAAAUUGUCGAUCGAUUCAAUUAUGUAGCUAUGGAUACUGAAUUCCCAGGCGUGGUUUUACGUCCUGUGGGGAAUUUUAAGAACAUCAACGAUUAUAACUAUCAAACUUUGAAAGAUAACGUUGAUAUGUUGAAAUUGAUCCAAUUGGGUCUUACGUUCUCUGACGAGAACGGGAAUUUGCCAACUUGUGGGACCGACAACUUCUGCAUUUGGCAGUUUAAUUUCCGUGAGUUCAAUAUCAGUGAGGACAUCUUUGCUAGUGAUUCUAUUGAGCUGUUGCGCCAAUGCGGAAUUGAUUUUAAGAAGAAUAAUGAGAAGGGUAUUGAUGUAAACCGGUUUGGUGAGCUUCUGAUGUCGUCAGGAAUUGUUUUGAAUGACGGCGUGCAUUGGGUUACAUUUCAUAGCGGGUAUGAUUUUGGGUACUUGCUUAAGCUUUUGACUUGCAGGAGUUUGCCUGAUACACAAGCUGGAUUCUUCGACUUGAUCAAUGUUUACUUUCCCAUUGUGUAUGAUAUCAAGCAUUUAAUGAAGUUUUGCAAUAGCCUUCAUGGUGGGUUGAACAAGCUUGCAGAGUUGUUGGAGGUGGAAAGAGUUGGUGUCUGCCAUCAAGCAGGCUCUGAUAGCUUGCUCACGUCUUGCACAUUUAGGAAAUUGAGAGACAACUUUUUCAGCGGCUCCACAGAGAACGGCAUGGCUUCAGGAGAAUGUGAAAUGGAAUGAGAGAAAGCAAAGUGAAUGGGUUCGGUCCUGGAUACAUGCAAAUUUAGAAGAGGCUUUCUACUGACGCAGUUUGUUGAGGAUUUUCAGUAAUUGCAUGACCCAAGAGCCUCCUUGUGGUUCAGCUUUGGCAGUAGAGUUCUUGAUGCAGAUGCUGAAGUAAAAUGUUAUGAUUUAAAGACAUUACUAUGAAUUUACUAAACUUUAAGGGCUAAACUCUACUAUGAUUUUUUUUUUUCAAAAUCUAUUGAUCAGUUAAUACGGCUAAGUACAAAUUUGUUAUCUUUUAGUCCUUUGCGAGUAAAAUGCCAAUUGGCAUGGUUGCCUGGUUUGUUCUUUAAACUCUGACCUGACAAUUUUUUGCUUUGUUGUUGGUGAUGGCGUUACACGAUUGCUAGUGCAUGCUCUUUUGUUGAAGAAAUGCUUCUUUCUAGUUCA